UACGAAGGGGGCUAGCGUUGCUCGGAAUCACUGGGCGUAAAGGGUGCGUAGGCGGCGGGGCAAGUCUGAUGUGAAAUCCCCGGGGGCUCAACCCCGGAACUGCAUUGGAUACUGCCUUGCUAGAGUACUGGAGAGGAGACUGGAAUUUUACGGUGUAGCAGUGAAAUGCGUAGAGAUCGUAAGGAAGACCAAUGGCGAAGGCAAGUCUCUGGACAGUGACUGACGCUGAGGCACGGAAGGCCAGGGGGGAGCAAAACGGGG
This 261-nucleotide ribosomal RNA is filed under the name uncultured bacterium. RNAcentral describes it as "partial 16S ribosomal RNA". It matches the Rfam family "Bacterial small subunit ribosomal RNA", at positions 524 to 778 of the family's 1533-position model. The record is from RNAcentral.